GUGGCUGUACCAAUUUAUGUUCCUACCACAUAUUGUAAAAUUGUUAUUAUACAUAGAAGAUUAGCAUAGCCCCUGCACA
This 79-nucleotide small nuclear RNA is filed under the name Mustela putorius furo (domestic ferret). Lineage: Eukaryota; Metazoa; Chordata; Mammalia; Carnivora; Mustelidae. The record is from RNAcentral.